Molecule: long non-coding RNA, 1426 nt
Filed under: Triticum aestivum (bread wheat)
Lineage: Eukaryota; Viridiplantae; Streptophyta; Magnoliopsida; Poales; Poaceae
Description: long non-coding RNA (TAES_LNC016507)
Source: RNAcentral
ACAAAAUUAGCAACUUGUUUCAUUUGAGCAAUCCUUUUUACAGCUGUGUAUGCCUGCUUAAUUAUCACUCCAUAAGACAAAAUGGCACUCUGUAUUUCUAGCCAUCAAUUCAAACCUACAGAUGUAGCAAAGCUCCAAUAAUACACUAUACAUACACAAUGUUAGGAAUCCCCGCCUCCUCUUUCCCUCGACCUCCCCCAAUCCCCGCCUCCUCCCCUGACCCCCUCAUUCCUUCUGGCCGUCACCGCCUCCUUCUCUCUCUCCUCCGCGAGCAACAAGGCCAAGGCUGAGGAGAGGCCGACGAUGGGGAACAAAAGGAGUGGGGGCAGCUCUCGUUCCCGCCGCAGCGAGCGCGCGCACCUGUCCCCGGCCCUGUGGAGGCGGCCAUACCGGACCAUCGCGUCCUAGAGUCGCGCGUCGAACCAGACCACCGCCGUCGUGCCCCAGCAUCUCAAGCUCCACCAGCGGCUCACGCGCUCGCCCUUGCCACUCUACCGGUGGAGAGCUCCUCCAUGGCAGCAACAACCGGAUCCCGGCUGACCCAGAUCCAAGCGCUUCUAUUUAGUACUCAAAACCUUAUGUUCAUUUAUGUACCUAAGGAGUAGAAAAGCACACCAUACAUACACAAUGUUAGGAAUCAGGACCAGUAGACUUAUGCAGAAAUUGGGAGCUCAGAACAAACUAUAGCAAGAAUAUGGUUUGAAUAGUAGAGCAAGAUAGCUAUAGAGUUUAUUGCACCUGUUGAUCUUCUCAUAGUCCAACUAAGAACUACACUAACUAAUUCUAUGCUACCCCUUUCCCUAAAUAUUGUUAAUACCUACAUCCAGCUCAUAUAACCAAUAUGAAAUUGCUGUGCAGACGACAGUACACACACGACAUGCAGCCAACACUUAUAUCAAAUGGUGGAGCAAUGCUGCUACAUGCAUCAGAUUGUGCGAUUUUCAGCAUCAUUCAAAAAUCGGCUGUGCACUAUCGUGUGUAUAGCAAGGUUCUAACUCAUAUAAUGAUGGAAACCACACUUACUGAAUUAUUUUCAGCAGACACGGUUAUGACUUUGUUCAUGCUAACCCAUGACAAUGUGCUCUGAAAUCAUACAGAACUAACAACUCACCAUCACAAAACAAAUAUUUACUCUUCUUUUAAUAGCAUAACCAGACAAAAACAAAGGAGGACACAAACUUACAUUCACAGCCAACCGAACAUUAGUAUCUGGCUAACGCCUAAUACUAAUAAUAUGAUGGGAUAUUACAUGAUUGGAAAUUAUGACCAACAAGUAUUCACAAAUAAUAUUGAUAUUGUAUUUCACUAUUUCUCAAAAGAAUUAGAAAGAUAAAAUUAAGCAAGCCUGAUUAUAAGUGAGUGUGUGCCAAUGCUUCGUGAGGUUCUGCCUGAGCAUCAACAUGAGAAAUGAGUGUGAGCAAGUACC